Molecule: small nuclear RNA, 23 nt
Filed under: Arabidopsis thaliana (thale cress)
Lineage: Eukaryota; Viridiplantae; Streptophyta; Magnoliopsida; Brassicales; Brassicaceae
Description: snRNA_05890
Source: RNAcentral
UAAAGCUGUAAAAAAGAACGGUA